GUAGGUGGCAAGCGUUGUCCGGGAAUUAUUGGGGCGUAAAGCGCGCGCAGGCGGUUCUUUAAGUCUGAUGUGAAAGCCCACGGGCUCAACCGUGGGAGGGUCAUUGGAAACUGGAGAACUUGAGUACAGAAGAGGAAAGCGGAAUUCCACGUGUAGCGGUGAAAUGCGUAGAGAUGUGGAGGAGCACCAGUGGCGAAGGCGGCUUUCUGGUCUGUAACUGACGCUGAGGCGCGAAAGCGUGGGGAGCAAACAGGAUUAGAUACCCUGGUAGUCCACGCCGUAAACGAUGAGUGCUAAGUGUUAGGGGGUUUCCGCCCCUUAGUGCUGCAGCUAACGCAUUAAGCACUCCGCCUGGGGAGUACGGCCGCAAAGGCUGA
RNAcentral lists this ribosomal RNA (377 nucleotides) under uncultured organism. Its description in RNAcentral is "partial 16S ribosomal RNA". It matches the Rfam family "Bacterial small subunit ribosomal RNA", at positions 527 to 897 of the family's 1533-position model. The record is from RNAcentral.